RNAcentral lists this ribosomal RNA (254 nucleotides) under uncultured bacterium. Its description in RNAcentral is "partial 16S ribosomal RNA". It matches the Rfam family "Bacterial small subunit ribosomal RNA", at positions 524 to 776 of the family's 1533-position model. The record is from RNAcentral.
UACGUAGGGUGCAAGCGUUAAUCGGAAUUACUAGGCGUAAAGCGUGCGCAGGCGGUCUGUUAAGACCGAUGUGAAAUCCCCGGGCUUAACCUGGGAACUGCAUUGGUGACUGGCAGGCUUUGAGUGUGGCAGAGGGAGGUAGAAUUCCACGUGUAGCAGUGAAAUGCGUAGAGAUGUAAAGGAAUACCGAUAGCGAAGGCAGCCUCCUGGGCCAACACUGACGCUCAUGCACGAAAGCGUGGGGAGCAAACAGG